Molecule: long non-coding RNA, 1625 nt
Filed under: Homo sapiens (human)
Lineage: Eukaryota; Metazoa; Chordata; Mammalia; Primates; Hominidae
Description: HSALNT0079322
Source: RNAcentral
CUGGGGUAAUAAUUUUAAUAUACAGUUUGAAUUUAAGGCAAAAAAAAAAGUUACAAGGGAUGUGAUAGUUAAUUUUAUGUUUCAACUUGGAGGGUGUUUUGGAUGAGAUGAACAUUUAAAUCAGUAAACUUUGGGUGGGGCAGAUUGCCCUCCAUAAUGUGGGUGAACCUCAUCUAAUCAGUUGCAGGCCUGGAUAGAACAAAAAGACCAGUCUUUCCAAGCGAGAGGAAAUUCUCUGCCUGCUGGACUUUAUCUGAUCCCCUAGCUAUAGACUUCUGGCCUAUACAGUAGAUUUGGACUUGACGGUCUCCAUAAUUGCAUGAGCCAAUUCCUUAUAAUACAUCUCUUUCUAUGUAUAUGCACAUCCAAUUGGUUCUGUUUUCAUGGAGAGCAGUAAUACAAGGAAUAAAGUGGGUUACUGCAUAUUGGUAAAAAAAAAUAGAUCAAGAAAAUAUAUUAUAAACAUAUGUGCCACUAAUGAUGGAAGAAAUAUGCACUAAACAACAUUGUAUUAGUCCAGUUGUGUUGCUAUAAAGAAAUACCUGAGGCUGGGUAAUUUAUAAAGAGAAGAGGUUUAACUAGCUUGUGGUUCUUUAGGUUGUACAUAAAGCAUAGUGCUAGCAUUUGCUUUUGGUGAGGGCCUCAGGAAGCUUACAAUCAUGGCAGAAGGUGAAGGGGAACCAGUGUGUUGCACGGUGAGAGAAGGAGCAAGUAAGAGAGGGAGGAAGUGCCAGGCUCUUUUAAACAAUCAGAUCUCAUGUGAACUUACAGAGUGAGAACUCAUUCAUUACUGCGAGGACAGAACCAAACCAUUAAUGAGGGAUUCACCCCCAUAACCCAAACACCUCCCACCAGGUUCUACCUCCAACAUCGGGGAUUACAUUUCAACAUGAGAUGUGGAAGGGACAAACAUCCAAAUUAUAUCAAAUAUACAUUCAAAGUACAGGGAGCAGGACCAGUAGACUACUGGAGAAAAUUUUUUUAAAUCAACAAUAAUACAUGGUAAUAUCUAACACGACACCUUUAAAAUUUUUUGAUAAGGCAGAUACAAAAUAAGACACAAAAUGUACAAGAUUAAUACAUUUCAUCUUCUAUUGUUCUAUAUGUUGAACUUUGCAUGCCUGAAAAGCUAAUUUUUUUUUUUUUUAAAGAGACAGUAUCUUGCUCUGUGACCCAGGCUGGGGUGCAGUGGCACAGUCACAGUGUGCAGCCUCAAUUUCCUGGGCUCAAGCAAUCCUCCCACCUCAGCCUCCUAAGUAGCUAGGACUACAGGUUACGCCACCAUGCCCAGAAAAUUUUUGUUUUUUUUUUUGGUAGAAAUGGGGUUUGCCAUGUUGUCUAGGCUGGUCUUAAACUCCUGGGCUCAAGUGAUUCAACCACCUUGGCCUCCCAAAGUGCCAAGAUUACAGGUGUAAUCUCACUGUGCUCACACCUGUAAUCAAUAAUUAUAAAUGCAUAAUCAAUUAAUAUAAAUGCAUAACAUAAAUCCAUAAUAUAAACUCAUAAUCAAUUAAUAUAAAUGUUACAGAAGAGCCUCUAUAAACUCCAAAUAAUUAGCAUCACAACAGAGUAUGUUGUCUGACAACAAAACACUAGAAUAGUUGGCCGGGCGCGGUGGCUCACGC